This 21-nucleotide non-coding RNA is filed under the name Caenorhabditis elegans. Lineage: Eukaryota; Metazoa; Nematoda; Chromadorea; Rhabditida; Rhabditidae. The record is from RNAcentral.
UCCUUCUUUUAUUCUCACUUC